Molecule: ribosomal RNA, 253 nt
Filed under: uncultured bacterium
Lineage: Bacteria
Description: partial 16S ribosomal RNA
Rfam family: Bacterial small subunit ribosomal RNA
Source: RNAcentral
UACGUAGGUGGCAAGCGUUGUCCGGAUUUACUGGGCGUAAAGGGAGCGUAGGCGGAUAUUUAAGUCAGAUGUGAAAUACCCGAGCUUAACUUGGGUGCUGCAUUUGAAACUGGAUAUCUGGAGUGCAGGAGAGGAAAGUGGAAUUCCUAGUGUAGCGGUGAAAUGCGUAGAGAUUAGGAAGAACACCAGUGGCGAAGGCGACUUUCUGGACUGUAACUGACACUGAGGAACGAAAGCCAGGGGAGCAAACGGG